Molecule: ribosomal RNA, 253 nt
Filed under: uncultured bacterium
Lineage: Bacteria
Description: partial 16S ribosomal RNA
Rfam family: Bacterial small subunit ribosomal RNA
Source: RNAcentral
UACAGAGACUGCAAGCGUUAUUCGGAUUCACUGGGCGUAAAGGGUGCGCAGGCGGUUGGGUGUGUCAGAUGUGAAAUCCCGAGGCUUAACCUCGGAACUGCGUCUGAAACUACUCGACUAGAGUACUGGAGAGGGAAACGGAAUUCACGGUGUAGCAGUGAAAUGCGUAGAUAUCGUGAGGAACACCAGAGGCGAAGGCGGGUCUCUGGGCAGUAACUGACGCUGAGGAGCGAAAGCGUGGGGAGCGAACAGG